This 253-nucleotide ribosomal RNA is filed under the name uncultured bacterium. Its description in RNAcentral is "partial 16S ribosomal RNA". It matches the Rfam family "Bacterial small subunit ribosomal RNA", at positions 524 to 776 of the family's 1533-position model. The record is from RNAcentral.
UACAGAGGUCUCAAGCGUUGUUCGGAUUCAUUGGGCGUAAAGGGUGCGUAGGCGGCGUCGUAAGUCGGGUGUGAAAUCUCGGGGCUUAACUCCGAAAUUGCAUUCGAUACUGCGGUGCUUGAGGACUGGAGAGGAGACUGGAAUUCACGGUGUAGCAGUGAAAUGCGUAGAUAUCGUGAGGAAGACCGGUGGCGAAGGCGGGUCUCUGGACAGUUCCUGACGCUGAGGCACGAAGGCCAGGGGAGCAAACAGG